This 91-nucleotide small nucleolar RNA is filed under the name Penicilliopsis zonata CBS 506.65. RNAcentral describes it as "A. fumigatus snoRNA Afu_300". It matches the Rfam family "A. fumigatus snoRNA Afu_300". The record is from Rfam by way of RNAcentral. Lineage: Eukaryota; Fungi; Ascomycota; Eurotiomycetes; Eurotiales; Aspergillaceae.
UAUCAUGAUGAACAAUUGCGAAAUAUAUACGCUGGAAAUUACCGGCUGAGGCUUUCGGGCUCUUGAAGAUAUUUAAUGGCUAUUUCUGAUC